UUUAACACACAUUUGAAAGGUACGAGCAAAAAUUGUUAUCAUCCAACUGUCGCAGAACGGCAGCGUUAUUAGCUGACCCGUUAACUGAAGAAUAUAUCUUGAGUCAAAGGCUGAUCGAACGGCCUAGCCGCUUAAAUCAGCUAGAAAAAUAACCUAGCCGAAUUCCUCAGUCUGGAAACAACCGCGCAGUAGAGCGGGCGUAUGAAAAUCGCGCUCUGCAGAUUUUGAGUGCCGGGUUCUCUACCUCCUGGAUCCUGCGCUCCGGGUCCGCUUCCUCGUGCACCUGGAGUUCCAGGACGAGCGCUCCGUAGUUUCGGCGCUCCAGGUCCGCUACCUGGCGAAACUCGACUUCUAGGACAAAUGCUCCGUGGUUGCUGCGCUCCAGGUCCGCUACCAGGUGACACUCGACUUCAGGGACAAGAGGUGGAUAAGGAGGAGAAGAACGACGAAAACGAGGAGAUCAAGGUGGACUAGGAAAACGACGAUUUCUGCACGGUAUAAACCGAGGUGAUUGUCGGUGGUUAUGGGAGGUGGUUGGCGGUGGUUGGCGGUGGUUGGAGGUGGUCGGAGGUGGACGAGGAGAAAGACGAGGAAGAUGAGGAGAACAAGGUGAACCAGGAGGACGAGGAUUU
Long non-coding RNA from Neodiprion fabricii, 632 nucleotides. RefSeq lists it as uncharacterized. Lineage: Eukaryota; Metazoa; Arthropoda; Insecta; Hymenoptera; Diprionidae. The record is from RefSeq and is a predicted model, not a curated record. The transcript is spliced from 3 exons.